RNAcentral lists this long non-coding RNA (1255 nucleotides) under Marmota monax (woodchuck). The record is from RNAcentral. Lineage: Eukaryota; Metazoa; Chordata; Mammalia; Rodentia; Sciuridae.
UAUGACACAGAAAUGAGUAUUUAUUUUUUAUUUGGGCCUUCAUUCUCCCUAGCCACUAGUGAUCAACAGGUUUUAGGGCUACUCACUAUGCCAUUCUUUUCUUUGGCCCUUCCUCAACAACAGGAUGCUUCUGGCAAAUAUAGUUUGCUAUAUGAUUUUUCUUUUAACUUUACUUCUCCUCCUCCUUUUUGAUGCCAGACUGGGUGGUGAGCAAUGUCUGGUGCCAGCCCAUGAAUAUUCGUAGAAGAUCUAGGUUCAUCUUCCUGGUUUGUGCCACCUACUUUGAUCUGUUGCCUUGGUCUGAAACUAAGGAGUUAGAAUUUGUAUUAAGUGUUACAUUUGAAUAGGAAGAAUUGUUAUGUUUGGAAUGAAUAUAAAUUCUAAUUCACUUUGAAAUAGUAGAAGCAACAGCAACUCUAAGACCGAAAGUGCUAAGAAAUUGGGGCUGAAGCUGCAAUGCCUGAGGCAUCUGUUACUAUUCAGUAUCUCACCCUCAGAUAAAAUUCAUCUUCCCCACUGGAAUGUGGAGGGGAAUAAUAAAUAAAACUGAUUCUGAGAAGCGCCUGGCAUGUAGAAACUGUGCUAAAAUUCCAGUUAUUCUCUACAAAAAAGGUGGAAAAUCAGACGUUUAAAAAUAGACUUAUUUGAGCAAUACAAGACUAAUCUUUUUAUAUGCAUGAACAUGUGCUUUCUGUUCCAGUUCUACCUACUGGGCACCCUUUAAGCUCAUUCGUCACUAAGCAACAUCAGAAAAGAAGGUUCAAAUCAGAAGCCAUUUCUCACUUUUUUUACUUACUGUAACAACUGGUUUCUAUCCUUCUGUGCAUCAUUCUUACAAUAAAAUUAUUGCAUUUUGUCUUUUUCUGAGUCUCUUUCUAUGGCAGGCAGGUUACAGAAACAGGAGGAAGCAGUGUGGGGAGGGGUUUAUGCUAUGUAGUGUCAGCAUUACAAAGCAGUGCUAGUAGAGGGAUCUCUAACCUGUAGCUUUGCAAGUCUGGGACUCAAAGAAUCAAGUGGAGAGAAAUCUGUCAGUAAAAGGCUCUCAGUGCAUCAGCAAAGACAUAAUUCUGGGAUGGAUAUAGGGAUCCAGACUUUAAACUAGGAGAUUGCAGACUAAGGAUAUGGGGGCUGGUGGCAAACAAGUGAAACAGGGAUGGUAUAGGUCAGAGAUCUGAUUGGCCAGAGUUUUCUUCCUUCAUCACGAUAGCACACUAUACCUGGAACUUGCAUAGGGGCAGUCUUAUGUUUGGUUUGU